This 97-nucleotide transfer RNA is filed under the name Acidobacteriota bacterium. Its description in RNAcentral is "Acidobacteria bacterium tRNA-Sec". It matches the Rfam family "Selenocysteine transfer RNA". RNAcentral also lists the same sequence under 2 other names. The record is from RNAcentral. Lineage: Bacteria; Pseudomonadati; Acidobacteriota.
GGAAGCGUAAGCAGGCCGGUGUCUGUUCCGGUCUUCAAAACCGGUGGACGGCAUCUCUGAUGUCGUCGGUGCGUUCGACUCGCACACGCUUCCGCCA